This 495-nucleotide ribosomal RNA is filed under the name uncultured bacterium. RNAcentral describes it as "partial 16S ribosomal RNA". It matches the Rfam family "Bacterial small subunit ribosomal RNA", at positions 28 to 507 of the family's 1533-position model. The record is from RNAcentral.
GACGAACGCUGGCGGCGUGCCUAAUACAUGCAAGUAGAACGCUGAAGGAGGAUCUUGCUCUUCUGGAUGAGUUGCGAACGGGUGAGUAACGCGUAGGUAACCUGCCUGGUAGCGGGGGAUAACUAUUGGAAACGAUAGCUAAUACCGCAUAACAGUAGAUGUUGCAUGACAUUUGCUUAAAAGGUGCAAUUGCACCACUACCAGAUGGACCUGCGUUGUAUUAGCUAGUUGGUGGGGUAACGGCUCACCAAGGCGACGAUACAUAGCCGACCUGAGAGGGUGAUCGGCCACACUGGGACUGGGACACGGCCCAGACUCCUACGGGAGGCAGCAGUAGGGAAUCUUCGGCAAUGGACGGAAGUCUGACCGAGCAACGCCGCGUGAGUGAGGAAGGUUUUCGGAUCGUAAAGCUCUGUUGUAAGAGAAGAACGAGUGUGAGAGUGGAAAGUUCACACUGUGACGGUAUCUUACCAGAAAGGGACGGCUAACUACGUG